RNAcentral lists this ribosomal RNA (1872 nucleotides) under Bacteroidetes bacterium TMED39. Its description in RNAcentral is "bacterial LSU rRNA". It matches the Rfam family "Bacterial large subunit ribosomal RNA", at positions 1 to 2006 of the family's 2925-position model. Lineage: Bacteria; Pseudomonadati; Bacteroidota. The record is from RNAcentral.
AUUAAGUUACUUAAGGGCGUACGGUGGAUGCCUUGGCUCUCAGAGGCUAUGAAGGACGUGAUAGGCUGCGAUAAGCUGCGGGAAAUUGUCUAUAAAUAUUAUAUCCGCAGAUUUCCGAAUGGGGCAACCCAUCCAAUUUAUUGGAUUUAAGCUAACCCGCUGAACUGAAACAUCUAAGUAAGCGGAGGAAGAGAAAACAAGAGUGAUUUCCAGAGUAGUGGCGAGCGAAAUGGAAUUAGCCCAAACCUAAGCGUGUAGCAAUGCCGUUUAGGGGUUGUAGGACCAUCAAAAUAUAUGAUGUGUAGAUAGUAGAAUGGCUUGGGAAAGCCAACCAUAGAGGGUGACAGUCCCGUAUACGAAAUCAGAUCAUCGUAAGAUGGCACCUGAGUAGGGCGGAGCCGGUGAAACUCUGUCUGAAUCUGCCAGCACCAUCUGGUAAGGCUAAAUACUCCUGAGAGACCGAUAGCGAACAAGUACCGUGAGGGAAAGGUGAAAAGUAUCUCGAACAGAGAGGUGAAAAGAACCUGAAACCGUACGUUUACAAGCGGUCGAAGCCUUCGGGCGACGGCGUGCCUUUUGCAUAAUGAGCCUACGAGUUGCUCUUCCCUGGCAAGGUUAAGUACUUCUGGUACGAAGCCGUAGCGAAAGCAAGUCUGAAUAGGGCGAAAGUCAGUGGAGGCAGACGCGAACCUUGGUGAUCUACCCAUGGUCAGGUUGAAGCUGUGGUAACACAUAGUGGAGGACCGAACUAGUUCACGUUGAAAAGUGUUUAGAUGAACUGUGGGUAGGGGUGAAAGGCCAAUCAAACUGAGAGAUAGCUCGUACUCCCCGAAAUGUUUUUAGGAACAGCCUCAGGUUAAGUGUACUAGAGGUAGAGCUACCGAUUGGGUAAGGGGGCUUCACCGCCUACCGAACCCAGACGAACUCCGAAUACUAGUAUAUGUUUCCUGGGAGUGAGGGCAUGGGUGCUAAGGUCCUUGUCCGAGAGGGAAAGAACCCAGACCAUCAGCUAAGGUCCCUAAAUGUGUUCUAAGUUGAUCUAAUGUGGUUUGAUUGCAUUGACAGCUAGGAUGUUGGCUUGGAAGCAGCCAUUCAUUUAAAGAGUGCGUAACAGCUCACUAGUCGAGCGAUCAUGCAUAAAUAAUAAUCGGGCAUUAAGAAUACUACCGAAGCUAUGGAUUUAUGGUAGGGGAGCAUUCCAAUUUCAGUGAAGGCAGAUUGUAAAGUCUGUUGGAGAAUUUGGAAAAGAAAAUGUAGGCAUAAGUAACGAUUAAGCGGGUGAGAAACCCGCUCGCCGUAUGACUAAGGUUUCCUGAUCAACGCUAAUCGGAUCAGGGUUAGUCGGGUCCUAAGGUGUACCGAUUCAGGGAAGCCGAUGGAAAACAGGUUAAUAUUCCUGUACCAGUUGAAGGGGACGGAGAAUUGUAGCAGCUACGGGGUGACGGAAGUCCCCGUUGAGCUUAGCCUUCGGGCGAAGCGAAGUUGUGAAUUUUCUUCCAAGAAAAGCCUCAACAAUAGCCCGUACCGCAAACCGACACAGGUAGUCGAGGAGAAUAUCCUAAGGCGCUCGAGUGAGUCGUGGUUAAGGAACUCGGCAAAUUAACCCUGUAACUUCGGGAUAAGGGGUCCCCACUUCGGUGGGGCGCAGAGAAAUGGCCCAGGCGACUGUUUAUCAAAAACACAUGGCUUUGCAAAAUCGAAAGAUGAUGUAUAAGGCCUGACACCUGCCCGGUGCCGGAAGGUUAAGGAAGGUUGUUAGCUUCGGCGAAGCAAUUGACUGAAGCCCCGGUAAACGGCGGCCGUAACUAUAACGGUCCUAAGGUAGCGAAAUUCCUUGUCGGGUAAGUUCCGACCUGCACGAAUGGUGUAACG